This 79-nucleotide transfer RNA is filed under the name Promethearchaeota archaeon. RNAcentral describes it as "Candidatus Lokiarchaeota archaeon tRNA-Ile". It matches the Rfam family "tRNA". From Rfam's summary of the family: Transfer RNA (tRNA) molecules are approximately 80 nucleotides in length. Their secondary structure includes four short double-helical elements and three loops (D, anti-codon, and T loops). The record is from RNAcentral. Lineage: Archaea; Promethearchaeati; Promethearchaeota.
AGGAGUGUAGCUCAGCCUGGAAUGAGCGAUAGUCUGAUAAACUAUAGGUUCGAGAGUUCAAAUCUCUCCACUCCUACCA